AGUGAACGCUGGCGGCAGGCCUAACACAUGCAAGUCGAGCGGCAGCGCGGGGGCAACCCUGGCGGCGAGCGGCGGACGGGUGAGGAAUUCGUCGGAAUCUGCCUUUUUGUGGGGGAUAACGUAGGGAAACUUACGCUAAUACCGCAUACGUCCUACGGGAGCAAGUGGGGGACCGCAAGGCCUCACGCAGAAAGAUGAGCCGACGACCGAUUAGCUAGUUGGUGGGGUAAAGGCCCACCAAGGCGACGAUCGGUAGCUGGUCUGAGAGGAUGAUCAGCCACACUGGGACUGAGACACGGCCCAGACUCCUAAGGGAGGCAGCAGUGGGGAAUAUUGGACAAUGGGCGCAAGCCUGAUCCAGCCAUGCCGCGUGUGUGAAGAAGGCCUUCGGGUUGUAAAGCACUUUUGUCCGGAAAGAAAUCCCUGGAGCUAAUACCUUCGGGGGAUGACGGUACCGGAAGAAUAAGCACCGGCUAACUUCGUG
This 484-nucleotide ribosomal RNA is filed under the name uncultured bacterium. RNAcentral describes it as "partial 16S ribosomal RNA". It matches the Rfam family "Bacterial small subunit ribosomal RNA", at positions 29 to 507 of the family's 1533-position model. The record is from RNAcentral.